UGAUAUGUAAUCUAGCUUACAG
RNAcentral lists this microRNA (22 nucleotides) under Caenorhabditis briggsae. RNAcentral describes it as "cbr-miR-62". Its record names the gene cbr-miR-62. Lineage: Eukaryota; Metazoa; Nematoda; Chromadorea; Rhabditida; Rhabditidae. The record is from miRBase by way of RNAcentral. RNAcentral also lists the same sequence under 3 other names.